UCUCCCUCCUUUUCUCCUCCCUCGCUUUCUUCUGCCGCAUGCGCCGUCGCUUCUCCAGUUCAUCUGAUGGGAGUACAGGAGAUGUUCAGAGUGAGGAGGCACCAGGAAAACACGGGGAGACACGCCCCAGAGGGGAGGUGACCGGGAGACACGCCCGAGAGGGGAGGUGACCGGGAGACACGCCCCAGAGGGGAGGUGACCGGGAGAAACGCCCCAGAGGGGAGGUGACCGGGAGACACGGGGAGACACGCCCCAGAGGGGAGGUGACCGGGAGACACGGGGAGACACGCCCGAGAGGGGAGGUGACCGGGAGACACGCCCCAGAGGGGAGGUGACCGGGAGACACGCCCCAGAGGGGAGGUGACCGGGAGACACGCCCCAGAGGGGAGGUGACCGGGAGACACGGGGAGACACGCCCCAGAGGGGAGGUGACCGGGAGACACGGGGAGACACGCCCCAGAGGGGAGGUGACCGGGAGACACGGGGAGACACGCCCCAGAGGGGAGGUGACCGGGAGACACGGGGAGACACGCCCCAGAGGGGAGGUGACCGGGAGACACGGGGAGACAAGCCCGAGAGGGGUGGGGAGGCCACAGGAACCCCCAGUCCCCACCCCGCAGGAUGAAGCAGGU
This is a long non-coding RNA of Brienomyrus brachyistius, 632 nucleotides long. RefSeq lists it as uncharacterized. NCBI's taxonomy places the organism in Eukaryota, Metazoa, Chordata, Actinopteri, Osteoglossiformes, Mormyridae. The record is from RefSeq and is a predicted model, not a curated record. The transcript is spliced from 3 exons.